RNAcentral lists this transfer RNA (84 nucleotides) under Cadophora sp. DSE1049. RNAcentral describes it as "tRNA-Asp". It matches the Rfam family "tRNA". From Rfam's summary of the family: Transfer RNA (tRNA) molecules are approximately 80 nucleotides in length. Their secondary structure includes four short double-helical elements and three loops (D, anti-codon, and T loops). Lineage: Eukaryota; Fungi; Ascomycota; Leotiomycetes; Helotiales; Ploettnerulaceae. The record is from RNAcentral.
UCUUUGAUGGUCUAGGGGUCAUGAUUUCCGCUUGUCAUCAAUGACAAUUCGCGGGAGACCGGGGUUCAAAUCCCCGUCAGAGAG